This 358-nucleotide transfer-messenger RNA is filed under the name Akkermansiaceae. Its description in RNAcentral is "Haloferula sp004293445 Standard tmRNA". It matches the Rfam family "transfer-messenger RNA". From Rfam's summary of the family: Bacterial tmRNA, also known as 10Sa RNA or SsrA, is named for its dual tRNA and mRNA-like properties. Its role is to liberate the mRNA from a stalled ribosome. The record is from RNAcentral. RNAcentral also lists the same sequence under 1 other name. Lineage: Bacteria; Pseudomonadati; Verrucomicrobiota; Verrucomicrobiia; Verrucomicrobiales.
GGGGGCGUACCGGUUUCGACGGGAUGUUCGAAGUGCUGGCUGCACGUGGAGGUUGAUCGGCUGGCCUCCUAAAAAGCCGCUCAAAACAAAUAAAUGCAGACUCUAACGAGCUCGCACUGGCUGCUUAAUUGACAGCCACGCCUGAACCCCGACGCCUACUGAGGGGGACGGCGAACAUCCAGUGGGCUGGCCUUGGAGCCGGGAGACCGGGCACCUCGGUGAGAUCAAACAGGUCCCUAGGAGAGAAGACGCCGCCGACGGGCCGACGCUCUCCGAAAUACCAGAUCGUCGGCUAAACGUGUAGAUGCCCGCGUGGAAGAUGUUUCGGACAGGGGUUCAACUCCCCUCGCCUCCACCA